Molecule: unclassified non-coding RNA, 379 nt
Filed under: uncultured bacterium
Lineage: Bacteria
Description: contains 16S-23S intergenic spacer region
Source: RNAcentral
UCCGGCUUAACGCCGGCAGUCCCUCUAGAGUGCCCAACUGAAUGCUGGCAACUAGAGGCAAGGGUUGCGCUCGUUGCGGGACUUAACCCAACAUCUCACGACACGAGCUGACGACAGCCAUGCAGCACCUGAACCGGCAGUCCCCGAAGGGAAAGCUUCAUCUCUGAAGCGGUCCACCGUUGUCUAACCCAGGUAAGGUUCUUCGCGUUGCGUCGAAUUAAACCACAUGCUCCACCGCUUGUGCGGGCCCCCGUCAAUUCCUUUGGGUUUCAACCUUGCGAUUGUACUUCCCAGGUGGAAUACUUAAUGCGUUUGCGACGGCGCGGAUUCCGUUGGUUGGAACCCACACCUAGUGCCCAACGUUUACGGCGUGGACUAC